AUUGAACGCUGGCGGCAGGCCUAACACAUGCAAGUCGAGCGGAGCGGCGGACGGGUGAGUAAUGCCUAGGAAUCUGCCUGGUAGUGGGGGAUCACGUCCGGAAACGGGCGCUCAUACCGCCUACUAUCCGAUGCGCCUAGGUCGGCUUAGCUAGUUGGUGGGUUAAAGGCCUACCAAGGCGAAGAUCCGUAACUGGUCUGAUAUGAUGAUCAGUCACACUGGAAUGGAGACACGUUCAUGACUCCUACGUGAGGCAGCAGUGGGGAAUUUUGGACAAGGGGCGAAAGCCUGAUCCAGCCAGGCCGCGUGUGUGAAGAAGGUCUUCGGAUUGUAAAGCACUUGAAGGUGUGAGGCGUUACCAACAGAAUAAGCACCGGCUAACUUCGUGCCAGCAGCCGCGGUAAGUC
Molecule: ribosomal RNA, 407 nt
Filed under: uncultured bacterium
Lineage: Bacteria
Description: partial 16S ribosomal RNA
Rfam family: Bacterial small subunit ribosomal RNA
Source: RNAcentral